RNAcentral lists this ribosomal RNA (466 nucleotides) under uncultured bacterium. RNAcentral describes it as "partial 16S ribosomal RNA". It matches the Rfam family "Bacterial small subunit ribosomal RNA", at positions 28 to 507 of the family's 1533-position model. The record is from RNAcentral.
GACGAACGCUGGCGGCGCGCCUAACACAUGCAAGUCGAACGAGCGAGAGAGAGCUUGCUUUCUCGAGCGAGUGGCGAACGGGUGAGUAACGCGUGAGGAACCUGCCUCAAAGAGGGGGACAACAGUUGGAAACGACUGCUAAUACCGCAUAAGCCCACGGCUCGGCAUCGAGCAGGGGGAAAAGGAGCAAUCCGCUUUGAGAUGGCCUCGCGUCCGAUUAGCUAGUUGGUGGGGUAACGGCCCACCAAGGCGACGAUCGGUAGCCGGACUGAGAGGUUGAACGGCCACAUUGGGACUGAGGCACGGCCCAGACUCCUACGGGAGGCAGCGGUGGGGGAUAUUGCACAAGGGGGGAAGCCCUGAUGCAGCGACGCCGCGUGGAGGAAGAAGGUCUUCGGAGUGGAAGCUCCUGUUGUAGGGGAAGAUAAUGACGGUACCCGACAAGGAAGUGACGGCUAACUACGUG